Molecule: non-coding RNA, 124 nt
Filed under: Fragilariopsis kerguelensis
Lineage: Eukaryota; Bacillariophyta; Bacillariophyceae; Bacillariales; Bacillariaceae
Source: RNAcentral
AUCAUCACGCUACACGGAUUGUUGAAGAAUUAUUGGUCCGUGGUGUCAUCCAAGAAUUUACGUACAAUGAGAAUAAUAAAGAAGAAGAAAAGGAAAUACAAAACUAUUUUCAGGAAGAAAUUGC